This is a long non-coding RNA of Chroicocephalus ridibundus (black-headed gull), 785 nucleotides long. RefSeq lists it as uncharacterized. The record is from RefSeq and is a predicted model, not a curated record. NCBI's taxonomy places the organism in Eukaryota, Metazoa, Chordata, Aves, Charadriiformes, Laridae. The transcript is spliced from 3 exons.
AGAAGGAAAAGCUUCUGCCCUUUAUCCAGCAAAGCCCACAGCAACCAGGAAGCAACGUUUCCAUAUUAAUGCACAACAGUGUCCCAAAAGCAGCCUGCCUCUUAACUGUGUCUCAGUUUAACUGAAAGGAACACUGAGGUCAGGAUUCCCUUAAAGAUAAGGAAGCUUUCUUAGGUGAGCCCUGCCAAGCCACUCAGCCCUUCUGCAUCUGCGUUCUCUAUCUGCUGAUGACAAGGGCAGAACAGUAGUCCCAUUUAACGUUGCUAGCUGCAAAAAAGUUGUUUCUGGAAGAAGGAUGAAGACCCUGUUCUCCCAGUGUUAACAGCAGUUUGAAAGAAAGGCUGUUGUUGGUACUGGUUUCCUUCUGUGAAGAAAGUACUCAUUAAAAAAAACCCAACCAAACAAACAAACAAAAGAGACAGUCAAACCUCCCUUCGUCCUCCUCCAAUUCCGAGAGCAAGAUUAACCAAUGAAGGAAUAUGCACCCGUCCCAGACUCUAGCAGAAGCAGGACUGCCAGAAAUGAUACGGUUACACAAACUCCGAAUAGGGUGCAUAUCCACAACAUCUCCACCUGUGCUCAGCUGGCCUCUGUGGCCACCAAGUUCCUUAGCUAUAGGAACACAGCCUGAGUCAACCUGCAGAGACGCCCUGCCACUGCCUGAACCUCUCCAGCCACUGACAACGUACAAGAACUAAAUGUGUCAUUUUAGAAGCAUAUUACUUCUCAUUGUGAAAAAAUGGCACCAAUAAAUAUGUUUGAGAUACUUUUACCCUUGCAAUAAA